UACAGAGGUCUCAAGCGUUGUUCGGAUUCAUUGGGCGUAAAGGGUGCGUAGGCGGCUUGGCAAGUCGGAUGUGAAAUCCCUCGGCUCAACCAAGGAAGUGCAUCCGAAACUGCUGAGCUUGAGUACUUAAGAGGAUCGCGGAAUUCCCGGUGUAGAGGUGAAAUUCGUAGAUAUUCGCAAGAACACCAGUGGCGAAGGCGGCUCACUGGCCCGAUACUGACGCUGAGGCACGAAAGCGUGGGGAGCAAACAGG
Molecule: ribosomal RNA, 253 nt
Filed under: uncultured bacterium
Lineage: Bacteria
Description: partial 16S ribosomal RNA
Rfam family: Bacterial small subunit ribosomal RNA
Source: RNAcentral